Mauremys reevesii (Reeves's turtle) is the source of this 463-nucleotide long non-coding RNA. RefSeq lists it as uncharacterized. The record is from RefSeq and is a predicted model, not a curated record. The transcript is spliced from 3 exons. Lineage: Eukaryota; Metazoa; Chordata; Testudines; Geoemydidae.
AGAAAGCUAACGCUCUGUGAACAUUUAACAUAUGGAGUGAGGUCUCCCUCCCGUCAGCAUGUGGCUUCGGGAAAAAUAUAGACUGUUCUGUAGUACGUCUUUCACAUCCUCAGAACAGUCCUUCUUGACCCACAUCAGCCAUGGAGUAACCAGGCCUUGAGAUGGAGUACUCUGAGGUUGGGGUGAUGGACACACCUCGCAUUCUGUGACAGAAGGAACAACUAUGAACUAUUAAGCUUAUCUGAGGUAAGAGAAAGCGCUGCUGUCGCUCUGACUCAAGCCAAAGGUGGUACAGAAGGAACUGGGGGAGGCUUGGCUGCACACCACAAUGUAACCACUUGGAACGGCGCGAAACAGCUAUGGCGCAUGCACAGCUCAACUGGACACUGCUACUACAAAUCUCUGAUUACAAGUUCAGGGCGCCAAAAUACCUGAAGUGGAGCACCCACAGGGACACUCUUCA